AUAAUUUAUCUCCGUGUUGUAGCUAACGCGUUAAGCACUCCGCCUGGGGACUACGGUCGCAAGACUAAAACUCAAAGGAAUUGACGGGGACCCGCACAAGCGGUGGAGCAUGUGGUUUAAUUCGAUGCAACGCGAAAAACCUUACCACUCCUUGACAUGGAGAUUAGAUCCUUCUUAACAGAAGGGCGCAGUUCGGCUGGAUCUCGCACAGGUGCUGCAUGGCUGUCGUCAGCUCGUGUCGUGAGAUGUUGGGUUAAGUCCCGCAACGAGCGUAACCCUCAUCCUUAGUUGCCAGCGGGUAAAGCCGGGCACUUUAAGGAAACUGCCGGUGGUAAACUGGAGGAAGGUGGGGAUGAUGUCAAGUCAGCACGGCCCUUAUGGGGUGGGCUACACACGUGCUACAAUGGUGACUACAAUAGGUUGCAAUGUCGCAAGGCUGAGCUAAUCCGUAAAAGUCAUCUCAGUUCGGAUUGUCCUCUGCAACUCGAGGGCAUGAAGUCGGAAUCGCUAGUAAUCGUGGAUCAGCAUGCCACGGUGAAUACGUUCUCGGGUCUUGUACACACUGCCCGUCACGCCAUGGGAAUUGGCUUAACUCGAAGCUGGUGCGCUAACCGAAA
This 617-nucleotide ribosomal RNA is filed under the name Anaplasma phagocytophilum. RNAcentral's name for it is "bacterial SSU rRNA". It matches the Rfam family "Bacterial small subunit ribosomal RNA", at positions 830 to 1444 of the family's 1533-position model. Lineage: Bacteria; Pseudomonadati; Pseudomonadota; Alphaproteobacteria; Rickettsiales; Anaplasmataceae. The record is from RNAcentral.